This 347-nucleotide unclassified non-coding RNA is filed under the name Thalassovita litoralis. RNAcentral's name for it is "Lutimaribacter litoralis Long range pseudoknot". The record is from RNAcentral. Lineage: Bacteria; Pseudomonadati; Pseudomonadota; Alphaproteobacteria; Rhodobacterales; Roseobacteraceae.
ACCCAUGAUUAUGAGGUGAAGAUGCGGAACGUGGUGAAAUUCCUGGAAAACGGCGACAAGGUGAAAGUCACCCUGCGCUUCCGGGGCCGCGAAAUGGCCCACCAGAAUCUGGGCCGCGAACUGCUGGAACGCGUGUCCGAAGAUGUCAAAGAAAUCGGCAAGGUCGAAAACAUGCCGAAAAUGGAAGGCCGCCAGAUGAUCAUGAUGAUCGGACCGCUCAGCAAGUGAUCCUGACAGCCAUGUGAUUUGCAUCGCCCCUGCGUUUAUCCGAAACGUGGGGGCGAUUUCUUUUGUACGAGGGGCCUAUGUGGGAACAACGUUUCGCAACCGACGAUUAUAUAUCCGGC